CAAAUUAAAGAAACAUUUAAAUAAUCAACUUGGGUUAUUGAAUGAAUCAAGCUUAGAUCUACAGAGUAGCAUCAGCAGUUUUAUACAACAGGUUACAAAAAAAGCUAUGGAAUAUAUAGACAACACAACUGACACCAAUAUGACAGUGAAAGAUGCACUUGUUAUGGUAGCUACAGCACAGAGUGUAAUAUUUGAACAUGUGAAUAUGAUGAAUGAAACCACCAAGCUUUAUCCUUUCACUGUGAUGACAGGAGACCAGACAACAACUGAGAGUAAAAGUUUUAUCCCAGCAGGUG
Molecule: long non-coding RNA, 296 nt
Organism: Physella acuta
Lineage: Eukaryota; Metazoa; Mollusca; Gastropoda; Physidae
Source: RefSeq, a predicted model, not a curated record